Long non-coding RNA from Rosa rugosa (rugosa rose), 436 nucleotides. RefSeq lists it as uncharacterized. The record is from RefSeq and is a predicted model, not a curated record. Lineage: Eukaryota; Viridiplantae; Streptophyta; Magnoliopsida; Rosales; Rosaceae. The transcript is spliced from 2 exons.
AACUAAAAGAAGGGCUAGCGAUGGGAGACAGAGAACGAGAUAAAGGUACCGGCGAACCCUAGACCUCUGAAGCUUUUUCCUCAGAGACGCAAAGAUGGGAGGGACGGAUCUUAUGAGUAAGAUUGUAGGGACAAUCGGACUUGGAGUUUUCGGAACUACUUGGUUUUUCAUUUACGAAGAUGCCCGUCGUCUCAUUGAGACAAGAGCACAAGAGAGAAAAAAUAGAAAAAAAAUCGAAGAAGGGAGAAUUCAUGAAUGAUGCUCCAUAACAAGGAAACAACAAGUCUCGUGUGCAGAGAUGAUUAGUCGCUGAUGUCUUUUGGUUCUUGAAUCAAAACUAUGUUUGUAUUUAUUAUGGUUGUAUGAACUCAAAAAUAUGAGGCUUGAUUCUUGAUUCUGACAUUGUUAUAUUAAUGACGAUUAGUAUUUAUGCUUA